Molecule: transfer RNA, 58 nt
Filed under: Ailuropoda melanoleuca (giant panda)
Lineage: Eukaryota; Metazoa; Chordata; Mammalia; Carnivora; Ursidae
Rfam family: tRNA
About the family: Transfer RNA (tRNA) molecules are approximately 80 nucleotides in length.
Source: Rfam by way of RNAcentral
UGGCUCAGUUGGUAGAGCACGUGACUCUUGAUCUUGGGGUUAUGAGUUCAAGCCCCAU